This 207-nucleotide ribosomal RNA is filed under the name uncultured bacterium. RNAcentral's name for it is "partial 16S ribosomal RNA". It matches the Rfam family "Bacterial small subunit ribosomal RNA", at positions 568 to 774 of the family's 1533-position model. The record is from RNAcentral.
AGCGUAGGCGGACAUUUAAGUCAGAGGUGAAAUCCCGGAGCUUAACUUCGGAACUGCCUUUGAUACUGGGUGUCUUGAGUGUGAGAGAGGUAUGUGGAACUCUGAGUGUAGAGGUGAAAUUCGUAGAUAUUCGGAAGAACACCAGUGGCGAAGGCGACAUACUGGCUCAUUACUGACGCUGAGGCUCGAAAGCGUGGGGAGCAAACA